CACAGCAUCAGUGCUUCUCAGCAUAUUUUGUUACUGAUAGUGAAAAAUCUGACUGAAGACAAAGCCCUUAAUAGAUCACGCAAUACCAGACGUUUUUUGCGCGUAAAAAUUAAGUAUGAAAGUACCCUUUACGCAGGCAACAUGUUCUGUCAGUAAUUCUAUUCGUACCCCGGAGCCGAACGCCCACAACACAUGGCGUAUCCCCAUCAACUCACUUUGUUGGAGGCUGGAUUUCCUCCUCUACGUCCUGGACAGCUGCAUGAUUCGUCUGAUUAUUCGUCCAGCGAGGAGGAUGAUAGUCCGAGACAUCGCGGUCAAGUGGUCGCAGCAUCCGAGCUCAGCACGCCCAGUCCGCCUAUGAGCCCGUAUUUGGCUGCCACCGGUCAGUUCGGCUCGACAGCAGAAUCAGUCAGUGAAGCCAGCGAAGCUCCAAGUCAACAGAAAGAAGAAAAGGCCCGUUCCCGACUGGAGGAAACCCGGAAACGAGUGGAAAAGCUCACUGAACGGGUGCGCGAGAGUGUAGAGACCAUUAUGGAGCGAGUGUUGAUUCAUGUAAGGAACGGGAUCAUUGCAUGGCAUUCCGGAAUUUAAUGGUGACGGCGAUUGCCAGAUGCGGACAUAAUUAUUAUUGUACGUAUGUACGAGGUAUUUCUAAUAGAAUAAGCAAAACAUGCAACAGAGAGCCGGGUCACCGUUGGAUGCCGGUACGAGGAACUAUACAUUAUCCGGAGUUGGUGUAAACUCAAUAUCGCAUUUUUACUGACUUUGGUCACCCACGAGAUAACAAUUAAACGGCUAGUAAUAACCAUUUUGAUCAUGAAAACGUCAACAGAUUACAGAGCAGAUCUGUAGUGGCAACUAACCAAUCGGUUUAUAGUUGCUAAAAUUAAGUAACUAAAAUAAAACAAACCCAUGUCUUCGUCAUACGGCAACAAGACAAAUACAAAUUAAAACAAAUUAAAACGAGCAAAUUUUCAGUAAAGAGUAAAACCAGGAAUGUUAACGCAGACAAUUCAAUCUAGGUCACAAACAACCAACCAAAAUCUGCAGCGAUAUUUAUAACAAGAACUGUUUUUUAAACCGAAUACAAAGUACAAAUUCAAAAUUAAAUAUUAACCAGUCGAGAAAUAUCACAAAUACACGCCAAAUCCACGUAACUUGCUAUUUUUGCAACUCCCAAAACGUGGACGGUGUGCUGGUAGGAACUCCGUCGUCCAUCGCAACGAAGCUACCCAACAAUUCUAUGAGAUCCAACGCGUGCAGAGGAUAGAGCGUCCAUGGCUAUACUGGCCAACUGCAUAUCGAAUUCCACGAAAGCCCACCUCCUAUUAUGGCAGUAGAAACAAUCACAUAGAGCCAGAAUAGUACCGGCCACGUCUGUAGUCUGGUGGCAGAAUUCAACCUUGGUCCCGGGAGAUUUAAAGUCGGAAUAGGACGUCCAGUAUUCCGAUCUGGCUUCAUCGUUGAUACUGGUACACCUGCAUUAUUAAGUGGUUGAUUAAUUGUAUCAUGCGCAAAAUAAAUGUAAAUGUAAAGCAACAAUGAACUACGAAUAAAAUUUCGCAAAGAGAAAUAACACAUUCCCUUAAAAAUCCAAUUUUAAACUAAU
This is an RNA transcript of Paramacrobiotus metropolitanus, 1609 nucleotides long. RefSeq lists it as uncharacterized. Lineage: Eukaryota; Metazoa; Tardigrada; Eutardigrada; Parachela; Macrobiotidae. The record is from RefSeq and is a predicted model, not a curated record. The transcript has 3 exons.